AGCGAACGCUGGCGGCAGGCUUAACACAUGCAAGUCGAACGGGCACUUCGGUGCUAGUGGCAGACGGGUGAGUAACACGUGGGAACGUACCUUUCGGUUCGGAAUAAUACAGGGAAACUUGUACUAAUACCGGAUACGCCCUUCGGGGAAGAUUAUCGCCGAUUGAUCGGCCCGCGUCUGAUUAGCUAGUUGGUGAGGUAAUGGCUCACCAAGGCGACGAUCAGUAGCUGGUCUGAGAGGACGACCAGCCACACUGGAACUGAGACACGGUCCAGACUCCUACGGGAGGCAGCAGUGGGGAAGUUUUGGACAAAUGGACGCAAAGUCUGAUCCAGCCAUUCCGCGUGCAGGAUGAAGGCCCUCGGGUUGUAAACUGCUUUGUACGGAACGAAACGGCGAGCUCUAAUACAGUUUGCUAAUGACGGUACCGUAAGAAUAAGCACCGGCUAACUACGUG
This 457-nucleotide ribosomal RNA is filed under the name uncultured bacterium. Its description in RNAcentral is "bacterial SSU rRNA". It matches the Rfam family "Bacterial small subunit ribosomal RNA", at positions 29 to 507 of the family's 1533-position model. The record is from RNAcentral.